RNAcentral lists this unclassified non-coding RNA (460 nucleotides) under Helicigona lapicida andorrica. RNAcentral describes it as "internal transcriber spacer 2". The record is from RNAcentral. Lineage: Eukaryota; Metazoa; Mollusca; Gastropoda; Stylommatophora; Helicidae.
AGUCAGACAAGCUAUCACCUCCUUUCGUGGCAGCAGGUUUCCGCACAAAAGGCGCCGGCCUCUCUCGAACAUUUCUUGCUCUGGAAUGACGAGGAGACGAUCGCUGUAAUGUGCUCGGGGGCCGCGGAGGUGCCUUGGGUUUUCGCGGAUCUCCUGGAUCCUCGUGACUUCAAGUGCAUGAUGCGCCGUCCGCUAUCUCGUGAGUCUCGGUGCUCGGAACAGCUCUGACUAAUNUUUUUGGUUUUCCGGGCACUGGCGACAUAGACGAGGGAGUAUUUUCUCUUGCCUAACCGACGCCGCCGGCCGACGUGCUGGACUCGGAUUGAUCGGAUAUCAUCGAGCCGCCGGGGAGCUGGAGGUUACGGGAACGUGGGAGAAAUGGAAGCUCAUGGCGGCGCCCAGUUACAAAAACAAAGCAGGCGAGCCUGCGUCCGCAGCGCGCUUGCUUUUGUUUUAUAUA